AGGUCUUCAUGGAGUCUGC
RNAcentral lists this non-coding RNA (19 nucleotides) under Rattus norvegicus (Norway rat). The record is from RNAcentral. Lineage: Eukaryota; Metazoa; Chordata; Mammalia; Rodentia; Muridae.